CCUACGGGAGGCAGCAGUGGGGAAUAUUGGGCAAUGGGCGCAAGCCUGACCCAGCAACGCCGCGUGAAGGAAGAAGGCUUUCGGGUUGUAAACUUCUUUUCUCAGGGACGAAGAAAGUGACAGUACCUGAGGAAUAAGCCACGGCUAACUACGUGCCAGCAGCCGCGGUAAUACGUAGGUGGCAAGCGUUAUCCGGAUUUAUUGGGUGUAAAGGGCGUGUAGGCGGGAGCGCAAGUCAGAUGUGAAAACUCAGGGCUCAACCCUGAGCCUGCAUUUGAAACUGUGUUUCUUGAGUGCUGGGGAGGCAAUCGGAAUUCCGUGUGUAGCGGUGAAAUGCGUAGAUAUACGGAGGAACACCAGUGGCGAAGGCGGAUUGCUGGACAGUAACUGACGCUGAGGCGCGAAAGCGUGGGGAGCAAACAGGAUUAGAUACCCCUGUAGUC
This 443-nucleotide ribosomal RNA is filed under the name uncultured bacterium. RNAcentral's name for it is "partial 16S ribosomal RNA". It matches the Rfam family "Bacterial small subunit ribosomal RNA", at positions 338 to 795 of the family's 1533-position model. The record is from RNAcentral.